Long non-coding RNA from Sciurus carolinensis (gray squirrel), 2119 nucleotides. RefSeq lists it as uncharacterized. Lineage: Eukaryota; Metazoa; Chordata; Mammalia; Rodentia; Sciuridae. The transcript has 3 exons. The record is from RefSeq and is a predicted model, not a curated record.
AAAGAGGCGGAGGCAGUGCGCGGGAAGGGGGAGGGAGGGAGGAGGCGGACCUCAGCGCAGAGCCGCGAGGGAAGCGUGAGUCGGUCCCGGGUGAAGCUUGAGCUGCCGGGGAAGUGGCGUGCGGGACUCCUGGCUUCCCUACCCCCUCCUUUCGGGCAGCAGCCUGGCGGGGAACCCACCUUGCAACCCCCUCUGGCUCUUCGCGUCAGUCUCUGCGGACUUACUGCGCGGCCUGGUAGGGUCGGUGGUACCAGACGCACAGCCCCACCGUCUAGUAGGACAAGCCCUUGCCGGCUUUGCGUUUGGUUUGGUUUUUGUCUCCGCCUCUACACAUUCCCCCGCCUCCUGGGCCUCGACUCCCUCCUCCUGUCAAUCAGGUUCUCAUCUCACCCUUGGAGCCACGGGGCUUCCGCCCACUGUGACCUCGGGCAGUUGAGUUGGGUCCCCACUUCUGAACUGCUCACUUUGGGCUACCUGUCGGUUGGAGACGAUGGGACAUGAGGACGUUCUCCAACCUUCGGCUACCGGUGUCAGAGUUUUACUGCGUCCUUCGUUUCCAAAUGCAUGGACUUUCUGCCCUGAAACCGGAAGGUCAUAACCAAAUAACGCCUCAUUCCAACAGCAAGACCUAAAACCGGACGGAUAAGAAGCAAAGAGAAGCCAAAGUGGUUGCCGCGUUUGGGACACUGGAUGCCAGGGUAGCGGAAUUGGUGUUUAGAUGUAGAAGCGGGCCAGAGUAACGGGAGGUAGCGGAGGAGCCCCUCCACCACAGUGACCUUUAUUACCCGCACCUUCCCUCCGGCCUCACCCGUGCGCCUGCGGGUCGGGCGCUCGCCACCAGGGGGCGACGGAGAACCUAACGCAGAGCUUCGGGAAGUAGGGUAGCGACGGGCCGGUGUCCGUCCAUACCUAACCCGCAAAGCGCGGAGUUUGCAGCUGGCUGGAGUAACUCGGGGAGAAGCAGUUUUCGCGGUUGAGGAUCCGGCUUCGCUGCUUAUCUUGUAAUCCUCUUGGAGUCACCUGCAUAGAGAAUUUAUAGCGUGGUUGUAUUGGUGCUUGCCACUUCCCCCUGCAGGGUGCAUUUCCCAUAUUUUUUUCUUUUCUGAUCCUCCCCAUUCACCAAUAGUCACCCUUUAAAUUCAGAAGUGCUACGUUUUUCUUCCUAUUGCCUUAUAACAAAUUAAACUGUAACUUCUGACUAAAACUACCCCCCCCAAAGUUCGGGCAUUUCUAUUAUGCUACCCAAAAUUAAUUUAGAGGCAAAUAUCUAUGUAAAAUGUUUUAAGCCAAGUAGAAUUCUGUCUUACAGAAGCCUGUUGAAGAAAUAAAAGUUGAGAACUUAAAAUAGUACUUGACCCAUAGAAAUCUUAAUUUUUCCCACUUUACUGAGGUAUGUUACACAUAAUAAAGUACACAUAAAAUGAAUCACUUGAUAAAUUUCAAUGCAUACACACUCCUGUGAAGCCAUCACCAAUCAAAAUAAUGAACCACCCCAUCACCCCAAAAGGUUUCUCAUGUCCCUUUUGUAAGCAGUCCCUCCCUUCAUCACUAAAAAUGAUGCGCUAGGCAGCCAAUGAUUUUCUUUCUGUCACUAUAGUUUGCAUUUUCUUUAAUUACGUAUAUGGAAUCAUACAAUAUGUACUAUUCUUAAUCUGGCUUCUUAGAAAAAAAAUACUUUCCAGAUUCACCCCUGUUAUUGAGUGCAUAGAUAGUAAGUAGUAGUCUAUGAUAUAGAUGUGCCACAAAUUGUUCACCUUAAUGUACACUUUGGUUGUUUCCAAGUUUGUGCUGUUAAAAAUAAAACAGCAUUUUUGUGCUAGUCUUUCUGUGGACAUAUGCAUUUGUUACUUUUGGCUAAAUAUCUAGGUGUGGAUUUGGUGGGUUAUAUGGGAUGUAUUUGUUUAACUCUUUAAGAAACUACCAAACUGUUUUCCAAAACUAGUUUUACCAUUUUCUACUCCCACAGCAGUGUAUAACAUUUCCAGUCCCCACAUCCUUGCCAACACCUAUUAUUGUUAGUCAUCUGAAUUGUAGCCAGUUCAAUAAGGGUAUUUUGUAAUGGGAUAUGUAACUUAGUGGUAGAAUGCUUGUCUAGCAUGUGCAAAGUCCUGGGUUCAAA